Molecule: ribosomal RNA, 253 nt
Filed under: uncultured bacterium
Lineage: Bacteria
Description: partial 16S ribosomal RNA
Rfam family: Bacterial small subunit ribosomal RNA
Source: RNAcentral
UACAGAGGGUGCAAGCGUUAAUCGGAUUUACUGGGCGUAAAGAGCGCGCAGGCGGUCGUUCAAGUCGCGUGUGAAAGCCCCCGGCUCAACUGGGGAGGGUCACGCGAUACUGAUCGACUCGAAGGCAGGAGAGGGAAGUGGAAUUCCCGGUGUAGUGGUGAAAUGCGUAGAUAUCGGGAGGAACACCAGUGGCGAAGGCGACUUCCUGGCCUGUUCUUGACGCUGAGGCGCGAAAGCUAGGGGAGCAAACGGG